RNAcentral lists this ribosomal RNA (468 nucleotides) under uncultured bacterium. RNAcentral describes it as "partial 16S ribosomal RNA". It matches the Rfam family "Bacterial small subunit ribosomal RNA", at positions 28 to 507 of the family's 1533-position model. The record is from RNAcentral.
GACGAACGCUGGCGGCGUGCUUAACACAUGCAAGUCGAACGGAAAGGCCCUGCUUUUGUGGGGUGCUCGAGUGGCGAACGGGUGAGUAACACGUGAGUAACCUGCCCUUGACUUUGGGAUAACUUCAGGAAACUGGGGCUAAUACCGGAUAGGAGCUCCUGCUGCAUGGUGGGGGUUGGAAAGUUUCGGCGGUUGGGGAUGGACUCGCGGCUUAUCAGCUUGUUGGUGGGGUAGUGGCUUACCAAGGCUUUGACGGGUAGCCGGCCUGAGAGGGUGACCGGCCACAUUGGGACUGAGAGACGGCCCAGACUCCUACGGGAGGCAGCAGUGGGGAAUAUUACACAAUGGGCGGAAGCCUGAUGCAGCGACGCCGCGUGCGGGAUGACGGCCUUCUGGUUGUAAACCGCUGUCUCCUGUGACGAAGCGUGAGUGACGGUAAUGGGUAAAGAAGCACCGGCUAACUACGUG